CCCACGCCGAAAGACCAAGGUUUCCUGCGCAACGUUAAUCGACGCAGGGUUAGUCGGUCCCUAAGGCGAGGCUGAAAAGCGUAGUCGAUGGAAAACAGGUUAAUAUUCCUGUACUUCUGGUUAUUGCGAUGGAGGGACGGAGAAGGCUAGGCCAGCUUGGCGUUGGUUGUCCAAGUUUAAGGUGGUAGGCUGAGAUCUUAGGUAAAUCCGGGAUCUUAAGGCCGAGAGCUGAUGACGAGUUACCUUUCAGGUGACGAAGUGGUUGAUGCCAUGCUUCCAAGAAAAGCUUCUAAGCUUCAGAUAACCAGGAACCGUACCCCAAACCGACACAGGUGGUUGGGUAGAGAAUACCAAGGCGCUUGAGAGAACUCGGGUGAAGGAACUAGGCAAAAUGGCACCGUAACUUCGGGAGAAGGUGCGCCGGUGAGGGUGAAGGACUUGCUCCGUAAGCUCAUGCCGGUCGAAGAUACCAGGCCGCUGCGACUGUUUAUUAAAAACACAGCACUCUGCAAACACGAAAGUGGACGUAUAGGGUGUGACGCCUGCCCGGUGCCGGAAGGUUAAUUGAUGGGGUUAGCUAACGCGAAGCUCUUGAUCGAAGCCCCGGUAAACGGCGGCCGUAACUAUAACGGUCCUAAGGUAGCGAAAUUCCUUGUCGGGUAAGUUCCGACCUGCACGAAUGGCGUAACGAUGGCGGCGCUGUCUCCACCCGAGACUCAGUGAAAUUGAAAUCGCUGUGAAGAUGCAGUGUAUCCGCGGCUAGACGGAAAGACCCCGUGAACCUUUACUAUAGCUUUGCACUGGACUUUGAAUUUGCUUGUGUAGGAUAGGUGGGAGGCUUUGAAGCGUGGACGCCAGUUCGCGUGGAGCCAUCCUUGAAAUACCACCCUGGCAACUUUGAGGUUCUAACUCAGGUCCGUUAUCCGGAUCGAGGACAGUGUAUGGUGGGUAGUUUGACUGGGGCGGUCUCCUCCUAAAGAGUAACGGAGGAGUACGAAGGUGCGCUCAGACCGGUCGGAAAUCGGUCGUAGAGUAUAAAGGCAAAAGCGCGCUUGACUGCGAGACAGACACGUCGAGCAGGUACGAAAGUAGGUCUUAGUGAUCCGGUGGUUCUGUAUGGAAGGGCCAUCGCUCAACGGAUAAAAGGUACUCCGGGGAUAACAGGCUGAUACCGCCCAAGAGUUCAUAUCGACGGCGGUGUUUGGCACCUCGAUGUCGGCUCAUCACAUCCUGGGGCUGAAGCCGGUCCCAAGGGUAUGGCUGUUCGCCAUUUAAAGUGGUACGCGAGCUGGGUUUAGAACGUCGUGAGACAGUUCGGUCCCUAUCUGCCGUGGACGUUUGAGAUUUGAGAGGGGCUGCUCCUAGUACGAGAGGACCGGAGUGGACGAACCUCUGGUGUUCCGGUUGUCACGCCAGUGGCAUUGCCGGGUAGCUAUGUUCGGGAAAGAUAACCGCUGAAAGCAUCUAAGCGGGAAACUUGCCUCAAGAUGAGAUCUCACUGGAACCUUGAGUUCCCUGAAGGGCCGUCGAAGACUACGACGUUGAUAGGUUGGGUGUGUAAGCGCUGUGAGGCGUUGAGCUAACCAAUACUAAUUGCCCGUGAGGCUUGACCA
This 1613-nucleotide ribosomal RNA is filed under the name Pseudomonas sp. LAMO17WK12:I5. RNAcentral describes it as "bacterial LSU rRNA". It matches the Rfam family "Bacterial large subunit ribosomal RNA", at positions 1331 to 2925 of the family's 2925-position model. The record is from RNAcentral. Lineage: Bacteria; Pseudomonadati; Pseudomonadota; Gammaproteobacteria; Pseudomonadales; Pseudomonadaceae. RNAcentral also lists the same sequence under 1 other name.